This 144-nucleotide transfer RNA is filed under the name Candidatus Freyarchaeota archaeon. Its description in RNAcentral is "tRNA-Trp". The record is from RNAcentral. Lineage: Archaea; Promethearchaeati; Candidatus Freyarchaeota. RNAcentral also lists the same sequence under 2 other names.
GGGGACGUAGUGUAGUCAGUGUUGUUCAAAACAUGUUUGUGGUUUUGAACGCGACUAGGCAGCACGGCAGGCUCCAGACUUGCUAGUCGUGAGUUCAAAGUGGAGAAACAAUGUUUCUCUAUGGAAAUCUCACCGUCCCCACCA